RNAcentral lists this ribosomal RNA (1238 nucleotides) under metagenome. RNAcentral describes it as "bacterial LSU rRNA". It matches the Rfam family "Bacterial large subunit ribosomal RNA", at positions 1644 to 2925 of the family's 2925-position model. The record is from RNAcentral.
CCACUGUAAACCGACACAGGUGGGUGAGUCGAGGAGACUAAGGCGUUCGAGAGAACUCUCGUUAAGGAACUAGGCAAAUGAGCCCCGUAACUUCGGGAUAAGGGGCGCCAGCGCAAGCUGGCCGCAGCGAAGCAGCCCAGGCGACUGUUUACCAAAAACACAGGUCUCUGCUAACACGAAAGUGGAUGUAUAGGGGCUGACGCCUGCCCAAUGCCAGUAGGUUAACAGGAGAUGUCAGGAGUAAUCCGAAGCAUUGAAUCGAAGCCCUGGUGAAUGGCGGCCGUAACUCUAACGGUCCUAAGGUAGCGAAAUUCCUUGUCGGCUAAAUACCGACCCGCAUGAAAGGCGUAACGACUUGGGCACUGUCUCAACGAGAAGCUCGGUGAAAUUGUAGCACCCGUGAAGAUGCGGGUUACGCGCAGUAGGACGGAAAGACCCCGUGGAGCUUUACUACACCCUGUCACUGCGAAUUGGGUGUAGAUGUAGAGAGUAGGUGGGAGCUUAGGCACCAAUGGAACACCACCCUUCUACAUCUGGUUCGCUAACCGUCACCAUUAUCUGGUGACGAGACAAUGACAGGCGGGUAGUUUGACUGGGGCGGUCGCCUCCCAAAAGGUAACGGAGGCGCCUAAAGUUGCACUCAGGCUGGUUGGAAAUCAGCCGUCGAGCGUAUAGGUAUAUAGUGCGAUUGACUGCGAGACAAACAGGUCGAGCAGGGACGAAAGUCGAGCUAAGUGACCCUCUGGUGGUGCGUGGGCACGCCAGGGUUCAUCGGAUAUAAGCUACCCCGGGGAUAACAGGCUGAUCUUGCCCGAGCGCUCACAGCGACGGCAUGGUUUGGCACCUCGAUGUCGGCUCGUCUCAUCCUGGGGCUGUACACGGUCCCAAGGGUUCCGGAGUUCACGGAUUAAAGAGGCACGCGAGCUGGGUUCAGAACGGCGUGAGCCAGUUCGGUCCCUAUCCACUGCGCGCGGAGGAAAUUUGAGAGGACUCGCUCCUAGUACGAGAGGACCGGAGUGAACCGACCUCUGGUGUACCUGUUGUGCCGCCAGGCGCAUACGCAGGGUAGCCACGUCGGGUCGUGAUAAGCGCUGAAAGCAUCUAAGCGCCAAGCACACCUCAAGAUGAGAUUUCCCAUCGAAAGAGUAAGGCCCCCGGAAGACUACCGGGUUGAUAGGUCGCAGGUGUGAGCGCAGUAAUGUGUUAAGCUGAGCGAUACUAAUUGGCCGAGGGCUUAA